CGUAGUAAUCUUGAGAUGGAUACACUGAAAAACAUCCUUCAUGAAAAUAUUAUUGGGAAAAAUUAUUUGAUUGUGUUGGAUGAUGUGUGGAAUGAGGAUCCUGCUAAAUGGUUUCGUUUGAAAGAUUUAUUGGUUGGUGGUGCCAGAGGAAGUAGAAUAAUAAUAACCACACGUCUCAAAAGGGUUGCUGAGAUAACUCGCUCAGUUUCAAUAUAUGAAUUGCAGGGCCUGUCUGAAAUUGAGUCUUGGUCAUUGUUUAAACAAAUGGCAUUUAGACGAGGGCAAGUGCCGAGCCCAAGUCACGAGGCAAUUGGAAAGGAAAUUGUAGCAAAAUGUGCAGGGGUCCCUCUAGCCAUUAGAGCAAUAGGAGCUCUAUUGUAUUAUAGAAAUACUGAGUCUGAAUGGUUGUCUUUCAUAAAUAAGGAACUCUCAGAAGUAGAUCAGCAAGAAAGUAAUAUUUUACCCACUCUUAAAUUGAGUUAUAAUCAU
This 489-nucleotide unclassified non-coding RNA is filed under the name Hevea brasiliensis (rubber tree). Lineage: Eukaryota; Viridiplantae; Streptophyta; Magnoliopsida; Malpighiales; Euphorbiaceae. The record is from RNAcentral.